UACGAAGGGGGCUAGCGUUGCUCGGAAUCACUGGGCGUAAAGGGCGCGUAGGCGGCGCCGCAAGUCGGCUCGUGAAAGCCCGGGGCUCAACCCCGGAGGUGCGGCCGGGACUGCGGUGCUGGAGGCCGGAAGAGGAGGGUGGAAUACCCAGUGUAGAGGUGAAAUUCGUAGAUAUUGGGUGGAACACCGGUGGCGAAAGCGGCUCUCUGGUCCGGACCUGACGCUGAGGCGCGAAAGCGUGGGGAGCAAACAGG
RNAcentral lists this ribosomal RNA (254 nucleotides) under uncultured bacterium. RNAcentral's name for it is "partial 16S ribosomal RNA". It matches the Rfam family "Bacterial small subunit ribosomal RNA", at positions 524 to 776 of the family's 1533-position model. The record is from RNAcentral.